CAGUACUUGUGUUAUACUUUCG
Molecule: microRNA, 22 nt
Filed under: Blattella germanica (German cockroach)
Lineage: Eukaryota; Metazoa; Arthropoda; Insecta; Blattodea; Blattellidae
Description: Bge-Mir-12_3p* (star (passenger))
Source: RNAcentral